AGAGUUUGAUCAUGGCUCAGAUUGAACGCUGGCGGCAUGCUUUACACAUGCAAGUCGAGCGGCAGCGCGGGGGCAACCCUGGCGGCGAGCGGCGAACGGGUGAGGAAUGCAUCGGAACGUGUCCCGUAGAGGGGGAUAGCUCGGCGAAAGCCGGAUUAAUACCGCAUAUGCUCUACGGAGGAAAGCAGGGGACCCGCAAGGCCUUGCGCUAUGGGAGCGGCCGAUGCCCGAUUAGCUUGUUGGUGAGGUAAAGGCUUACCAAGGCGACGAUCGGUAGCUGGUCUGAGAGGAUGAUCAGCCACACUGGGACUGAGACACGGCCCAGACUCCUACGGGAGGCAGCAGUGGGGAAUUUUGGACAAUGGGGGAAACCCUGAUCCAGCCAUGCCGCGUGAGUGAAGAAGGCCUUCGGGUUGUAAAGCUCUUUUGGCCGGGAAGAAAGGGUUCUCUUGAAUACGGGGGAUCUUUGACGGUACCGGCAGAAUAAGCACCGGCUAACUACGUGCCAGCAGCCGCGGUAAUACGUAGGGUGCGAGCGUUAAUCGGAAUUACUGGGCGUAAAGCGUGCGUAGGCGGUUCGUUAUGUCUGCUGUGAAAUCCCCGGGCUCAACCUGGGAAUGGCAGUGGAAACUGGCGGGCUUGAGUGUGGCAGAGGGGGGUGGAAUUCCGCGUGUAGCAGUGAAAUGCGUAGAGAUGCGGAGGAACACCGAUGGCGAAGGCAGCCCCCUGGGCUAACACUGACGCUGAGGCACGAAAGCGUGGGGAGCAAACAGGAUUAGAUACCCUAGUAGUCC
Molecule: ribosomal RNA, 794 nt
Filed under: uncultured bacterium
Lineage: Bacteria
Description: bacterial SSU rRNA
Rfam family: Bacterial small subunit ribosomal RNA
Source: RNAcentral